GACGAACGCUGGCGGCGUGCUUAACACAUGCAAGUCGAACGGAAAGGCCCUGCUUUUGUGGGGUGCUCGAGUGGCGAACGGGUGAGUAACACGUGAGUAACCUGCCCUUGACUUUGGGAUAACUUCAGGAAACUGGGGCUAAUACCGGAUAGGAGCUCCUGCUGCAUGGUGGGGGUUGGAAAGUUUCGGCGGUUGGGGAUGGACUCGCGGCUUAUCAGCUUGUUGGUGGGGUAGUGGCUUACCAAGGCUUUGACGGGUAGCCGGCCUGAGUGGGUGACCGGCCACAUUGGGACUGGGAUACGGCCAAGACUCCAACGGGGGGCAGCAGUGGGGAAUAUUGCACAAUGGGCGGAAGCCUGAUGCAGCAACGCCGCGUGCGGGAUGACGGCCUUCGGGUUGUAAACCGCUUUCGCCUGUGACGAAGCGUGAGUGACGGUAAUGGGUAAAGAAGCACCGGCUAACUACGUG
This 468-nucleotide ribosomal RNA is filed under the name uncultured bacterium. Its description in RNAcentral is "partial 16S ribosomal RNA". It matches the Rfam family "Bacterial small subunit ribosomal RNA", at positions 28 to 507 of the family's 1533-position model. The record is from RNAcentral.